UGUGUGUGUGUGUGUGUCACCUCAUUGUUGGGGUCCUGGAUGACUCUGUAGAGACCUUGCACCAGGGACUUCUUCAGAUGAAGGCUGCCGGCGUAGCUGGGGAUCUGGGUUUCUGGCAAACAAUUCAAUGACAUGAGGAAUAACACGGAACAGAGGGGAGCCUUUACCUUGAAUUCUGAGAGCCAUUCUUCUACAACACCGCGCUCUGAACCCAGCAUCUUCCUCAGAGACCCCCGCCGGCUGCCUGCAGCGGGAACACAGAGAUGGGAGAUUGAGAUAUAGUGGAUGAAAAGGAGAGCAGGGAACAUGGAAACCUUGAGCACAGCAUGUACAGGUCUGGUUUUGAUAAGUUAUUUGAUUCUAUAAAAAUGGGGUGAAACAUCAUGGUUGACAGCUGAGACUGACUCGUGACUGAUCGAGUGCAAAUAUAUCGAAAGGGCAUCGCCACAGCAGCUCCAUCUCAAAUUAAUACGAUUAGAAAUUAUUGUAUUUUUUACUUUACUAUGACAGAAAGCUCAAGUAUCAGAAUUUUGUGUGCCAGUUUUCAUAUUCAUAAUGUAUCAAAGGAGAUGAGAUAUGAGAUAAGGCAGUGUUUAGUUUCUUGAGACAUAUUAUGAUCUGGGGCUGCAGGCACACAGUCAUCCUUGGCCCUGUUCUCUGUAUCCAGCAGCUAAAAUUAUCUUCAACAAACUGCCCAAAAUAACAAGUUCUCCU
Molecule: long non-coding RNA, 714 nt
Organism: Pleuronectes platessa (European plaice)
Lineage: Eukaryota; Metazoa; Chordata; Actinopteri; Pleuronectiformes; Pleuronectidae
Exons: 3
Source: RefSeq, a predicted model, not a curated record